RNAcentral lists this ribosomal RNA (449 nucleotides) under uncultured bacterium. Its description in RNAcentral is "bacterial SSU rRNA". It matches the Rfam family "Bacterial small subunit ribosomal RNA", at positions 28 to 521 of the family's 1533-position model. The record is from RNAcentral.
GAUGAACGCUGGCGGCGUGGAUAAGGCAUGCAAGUCAAGGGGGCCGCAAGGCAACCGGCAGACGAGGUAGUAAUAAGUAGGUACGAACCCAAAAGUCAUGAAUAGCUCAUCGAAAGGUGAGGUAAUACAUGAUAGUCCCUCCGGGGUAAAGAUUUAUCGCUUUUGGAUCGGCCUGCUCGGUAUCAGCUAGUUGGUAAGGUAAUGGCUUACCAAGGCAAUGACGCCUAGGGGGACCUGAGAGGGUGACCCCCACCGAUGGGACUGAGACACGGCCCAUACACCUACGGGUGGCUGCAGUCGAGAAUCUUCCACAAUGGACGAAAGUCUGAUGGAGCGACGCCGCGUGCAGGAUGAAGUCCUUCGGGAUGUAAACUGCUUUUAUAGGGGAGGAAAUUAUUGACGUUACCCUACGAAUAAGAGGUUGCUAAACUCGUGCCAGCAGCCGCGGU